GGGUUAGUAGGUUGGUCAUGCCUCUGGUAUGUGCUGGUCUCACUGAUUCCUCCUUCCUGAUGAACCUUAAUGCCAUUAAUUUGGUGUUGCGGGGAAUUUGGUCUGUUACUUUGAAAAAAUUAGAGUGUUUAAAGCAAGCUAACGCUUGAAUACACUAGCAUGGAAUAAUGAAAUAGGACGUUCGACCCCAUUUUGUUGGUUUCUAGGAUUGACGUA
RNAcentral lists this ribosomal RNA (216 nucleotides) under Campeiostachys nutans. RNAcentral's name for it is "Elymus nutans partial small subunit ribosomal RNA". The stretch from base 40 to 216 matches the Rfam family "Eukaryotic small subunit ribosomal RNA", at positions 686 to 864 of the family's 1831-position model. Lineage: Eukaryota; Viridiplantae; Streptophyta; Magnoliopsida; Poales; Poaceae. The record is from RNAcentral.